This 253-nucleotide ribosomal RNA is filed under the name uncultured bacterium. RNAcentral's name for it is "partial 16S ribosomal RNA". It matches the Rfam family "Bacterial small subunit ribosomal RNA", at positions 524 to 776 of the family's 1533-position model. The record is from RNAcentral.
UACGUAGGCAGCGAGCGUUGUUCGGAAUUACUGGGCGUAAAGCGAGUGUAGGCGGUCUGCUAAGUCGGAUGUGAAAGCCCCGGGCUCAACCCGGGAAGUGCACUCGAAACUGGCAGGCUAGAGUAUCGGAGAGGUUGGUGGAAUUCUCGGUGUAGAGGUGAGAUUCGUAGAUAUCGAGAGGAACACCGGUGGCGAAGGCGGCCAACUGGACGAAUACUGACGCUGAGACUCGAAAGCGUGGGGAGCAAACAGG